GGGGAAUAUUGCACAAUGGACGAAAGUCUGAUGCAGCGACGCCGCGUGAGGGAAGAAGGUUUUCGGAUUGUAAACCUCUGUCUUCGGGGACGAUAAUGACGGUACCCGAGGAGGAAGCCACGGCUAACUACGUGCCAGCAGCCGCGGUAAAACGUAGGUGGCAAGCGUUGUCCGGAAUUACUGGGUGUAAAGGGAGCGCAGGCGGAAUGAUAAGUUGGACGUGAAAUCUAUGGGCUCAACCCAUAGCGUGCGUUCAAAACUAUUGUUCUUGAGUAAUGUAGAGGUAGGCGGAAUUCCCGGUGUAGCGGUGGAAUGCGUAGAUAUCGGGAGGAACACCAGUGGCGAAGGCGGCCUACUGGGCAUUUACUGACGCUGAGGCUCGAAAGUAUGGGGAGCAAAC
Molecule: ribosomal RNA, 400 nt
Filed under: uncultured bacterium
Lineage: Bacteria
Description: bacterial SSU rRNA
Rfam family: Bacterial small subunit ribosomal RNA
Source: RNAcentral